This 1102-nucleotide ribosomal RNA is filed under the name uncultured Cladosporium. RNAcentral describes it as "eukaryotic LSU rRNA". The stretch from base 476 to 1102 matches the Rfam family "Eukaryotic large subunit ribosomal RNA", at positions 1 to 649 of the family's 3401-position model. The record is from RNAcentral. Lineage: Eukaryota; Fungi; Ascomycota; Dothideomycetes; Cladosporiales; Cladosporiaceae.
AGGGAUCAUUACAAGUGACCCCGGUCUAACCACCGGGAUGUUCAUAACCCUUUGUUGUCCGACUCUGUUGCCUCCGGGGCGACCCUGCCUUCGGGCGGGGGCUCCGGGUGGACACUUCAAACUCUUGCGUAACUUUGCAGUCUGAGUAAACUUAAUUAAUAAAUUAAAACUUUUAACAACGGAUCUCUUGGUUCUGGCAUCGAUGAAGAACGCAGCGAAAUGCGAUAAGUAAUGUGAAUUGCAGAAUUCAGUGAAUCAUCGAAUCUUUGAACGCACAUUGCGCCCCCUGGUAUUCCGGGGGGCAUGCCUGUUCGAGCGUCAUUUCACCACUCAAGCCUCGCUUGGUAUUGGGCAACGCGGUCCGCCGCGUGCCUCAAAUCGACCGGCUGGGUCUUCUGUCCCCUAAGCGUUGUGGAAACUAUUCGCUAAAGGGUGUUCGGGAGGCUACGCCGUAAAACAACCCCAUUUCUAAGGUUGACCUCGGAUCAGGUAGGGAUACCCGCUGAACUUAAGCAUAUCAAUAAGCGGAGGAAAAGAAACCAACAGGGAUUGCUCUAGUAACGGCGAGUGAAGCAGCAAUAGCUCAAAUUUGAAAUCUGGCGUCUUCGACGUCCGAGUUGUAAUUUGUAGAGGAUGCUUCUGAGUAACCACCGACCUAAGUUCCUUGGAACAGGACGUCAUAGAGGGUGAGAAUCCCGUAUGCGGUCGGAAAGGUGCUCUAUACGUAGCUCCUUCGACGAGUCGAGUUGUUUGGGAAUGCAGCUCUAAAUGGGAGGUAAAUUUCUUCUAAAGCUAAAUAUUGGCCAGAGACCGAUAGCGCACAAGUAGAGUGAUCGAAAGAUGAAAAGCACUUUGGAAAGAGAGUUAAAAAGCACGUGAAAUUGUUAAAAGGGAAGGGAUUGCAACCAGACUUGCUCGCGGUGUUCCGCCGGUCUUCUGACCGGUCUACUCGCCGCGUUGCAGGCCAGCAUCGUCUGGUGCCGCUGGAUAAGACUUGAGGAAUGUAGCUCCCUCGGGAGUGUUAUAGCCUCUUGUGAUGCAGCGAGCGCCGGGCGAGGUCCGCGCUUCGGCUAGGAUGCUGGCGUAAUGGUCGUAAUCCGCC